This 441-nucleotide ribosomal RNA is filed under the name uncultured bacterium. Its description in RNAcentral is "bacterial SSU rRNA". It matches the Rfam family "Bacterial small subunit ribosomal RNA", at positions 958 to 1398 of the family's 1533-position model. The record is from RNAcentral.
AACGCGAAGAACCUUACCCAGACUUGACAUGCCUGAAAUCCUUCAGAGAUGAGGGAGUGCCCGCAAGGGAAUCAGGACACAGGUGCUGCAUGGCUGUCGUCAGCUCGUGUCGUGAGAUGUUGGGUUAAGUCCCGCAACGAGCGCAACCCUCGCCUUUAGUUGCCAGCAUUCAGUUGGGCACUCUAGAGGGACUGCCGGUGUCAAGCCGGAGGAAGGUGGGGAUGACGUCAAGUCCUCAUGGCCUUUAUGUCUGGGGCUACACACGUGCUACAAUGGUCGGUACAGAGGGUCGCAAAGCCGCAAGGUGGAGCCAAUCCCAGAAAACCGACCCCAGUUCGGAUCGAAGUCUGCAACUCGACUUCGUGAAGUCGGAAUCGCUAGUAAUCGCGGAUCAGAACGCCGCGGUGAAUACGUUCCCGGGCCUUGUACACACCGACGCAC